GAUGAACGCUGGCGGCGUGCCUAAUACAUGCAAGUCGAGCGAAUGGAUUAAGAGCUUGCUCUUAUGAAGUUAGCGGCGGACGGGCGAGUAACACGUGGGUAACCUGCCCAUAAGACUAGGAUAACUCCGGGAAACCGGGGAUAAUACCGGAUAACAUUUUGAAGCGCAUGUUUCGAAAUUGAAAGGCGGCUUCGGCUGGCACUUAUGGAUGGACCCGCGUCGCAUUAGCUAGUAGGUGAGGUAACGGCUCACCAAGGCAACGAUGCGUAGCCGACCUGAGAGGGUGAUCGGCCACACUGGGACUGAGACACGGCCCAGACUCCUACGGGAGGCAGCAGUAGGGAAUCUUCCGCAAUGGACGAAAGUCUGACGGAGCAACGCCGCGUGAGUGAUGAAGGCUUUCGGGUCGUAAAACUCUGUUGUUAGGGAAGAGCAAGUGCUAGUUGAAUAAGCUGGCACCUUGACGGUACCUAACCAGAAAGCCACGGCUAACUACGUGCCAGCAGCCGCGGUAA
Molecule: ribosomal RNA, 515 nt
Filed under: uncultured bacterium
Lineage: Bacteria
Description: partial 16S ribosomal RNA
Rfam family: Bacterial small subunit ribosomal RNA
Source: RNAcentral